ACAUUAGAUACCCGCGUAGUCCUAGCCGUAAACGAUACUCGCUAGGUGUCGGCCACGGUGCGACCGUUGUCGGUGCCGUAGGGAAGCCGUGAAGCGAGCCACCUGGGAAGUACGGCCGCAAGGCUGAAACUUAAAGGAAUUGGCGGGGGAGCACAACAACGGGUGGAGCUUGCGGUUUAAUUGGAUUCAACGCCGGAAAUCUUACCGGGACCGACAGCAACAUGAAGGCCAAGCUGAAGACUUUGCCGGAUUAGCUG
This 257-nucleotide ribosomal RNA is filed under the name uncultured archaeon. Its description in RNAcentral is "partial 16S ribosomal RNA". It matches the Rfam family "Archaeal small subunit ribosomal RNA", at positions 726 to 982 of the family's 1478-position model. The record is from RNAcentral.